Molecule: ribosomal RNA, 443 nt
Filed under: uncultured bacterium
Lineage: Bacteria
Description: partial 16S ribosomal RNA
Rfam family: Bacterial small subunit ribosomal RNA
Source: RNAcentral
CCUACGUGAGACUGCAGUGAGGAAUAUUUGGCACUGGGCGCAAGCCUGACCCAGCAACGCCGCGUGAAGGAAGAAGGCUUUCGGGUUGUAAACUUCUUUUCUCAGGGACGACACAAGUGACGGUACCUGAGGAAUAAGCCACGGCUAACUACGUGCCAGCAGCCGCGGUAAGACGUAGGUGGCAAGCGUUAUCCGGAUUUACUGGGUGUAAAGGGCGUGUAGGCGGGGACGCAAGACAGAUGUGAAAACCACGGGCGCAACCUGUGGCCUGCAUUUGAAACUGUGUUUCUUGAGUACUGGAGAGGCAGACGGAAUUCCUAGUGUAGCGGUGAAAUGCGUAGAUAUUAGGAGGAACACCAGUGGCGAAGGCGGUCUGCUGGACAGCAACUGACGCUGAUGCGCGAAAGCGUGGGGAGCAAACAGGAUUAGAUACCCCAGUAGUC